Ciona intestinalis (vase tunicate) is the source of this 858-nucleotide non-coding RNA. Lineage: Eukaryota; Metazoa; Chordata; Ascidiacea; Phlebobranchia; Cionidae. The record is from RefSeq and is a predicted model, not a curated record.
ACACCUAUAGUACCAAAUUGAGUAUAAUUAUAUAAACGUAUUAAAGUCUUGAAACUGCUUUGCAUGAACAAUUGAAUACAUAUUGAUAUGCUACGAAGAAAACCUUCAAAAAUUAAACUACAAGUUGAAGAUCUUCAAGAUUAUCUGAAUCAUUGUAAAGAAACGAACAAAGGAAAACAGAGUCACAGCGAAACAAUAACUAAAGAUUUUGAUGUAAAUCAAACGUUCACGACUAUACCGGCAAAUCCAGGCGGUAUUCGAAACACACGGUCUAGAGCAGAAGUUCAUCGUAGAAUUGGAUAUCAACCUCAACCUAUAACUCCAGAAAGUACUUCACAGUACAAUAAUAUUCAUUAGAGAGAUUCGAUCAAGUGAGGCAUGGCAGCUUCAAGUCGAGAAAAAUUUUACGCAAAUAACACUUUAGCUGUUCUUUUGAUUGCAAUGGAAAAUAACAAUGUUAGGGUUGAAACUAAGAAUGAAAGUCUAAUUAAAGGUCGUCUAAUCAAUUGUGACGGCUUCGGUAAUCUGAAUUUAAUAAAUGCAACUAUUAUCAAUGUUAGAGGAACAAAAAUUAAAGUGGAUGAGAUUUAUAUAAAGGUGCGUAAUUGUUGUAAACUUGAUAAGCCUACUUUGUAAACAAUUUAAUACACGUACAUUUUAAAAUUCAAGUUUGGCUAUAAAAACUAUUUUCUAUUGUGGGUACUCGUUGUAAACUUGAUAAGCCUACAUUCAUAAACAAUUGACGUACAUUUUAAAAUCUAAGUUUGCCUUCAAAAACUAUUUUCUAUUUAAUAAAGUAAAGUACCACAUCAUCAACAAAUAUAUGCUAUGUUUCUGUAGAUUUCGGUGUGGUUGCAA